UUAUAUUUCCUUAUGUUGAAUAUUAAAAUACAAAAUUUUGACAUUACAGAAGUGGAAUAGGAUAAGUAUAAAAAUUUUUGUUAUUCUCUUACCUUUUGUAUAAUGGUUAAACUAGAAUGUAAUUAAAUAAUUAUUCCCGAAUUAAGAAGAGCUAAUUAUUGACUUAUAUUAGGAUAUAAAAAUUAUGUGGAAAUAUGGUUUUAAGAUCAGUAAUUAGGGGCGAAAUACUUUCAAUUCUUAGGAUAUCUGGAACUCUCUAAAAAGCAUAUAGUGCGAAUAAAGUGAAUUAUAAAGUGUUUAGAUUUUAUAAUAGUUAGAAUUUAAGAAAGAUAAUAAAGUUUCUAGGUUUAAACUCCAAGUUAGUUUUAUUUUGAUAAAUUGAUUUCUUUUUAAAUCUAGAUUUAAAAGUAGGGGAGCUUUUUGAAUAAUAUAUUUCAAAAUUGAUAAUGUUUAAAUUAGUAUUAAAAUUUAGUAUAUAGUUACAGCAUGUUUAUCAGUAGAUAACAGAAUAAAUAAAAAUUAUCUUAAAGGAACUCGGCAAAUAUAAGCUUGGACUGUUUAACAAAAACAUAGCUACAAGUUUUAUAUUUGUGGUUUAACCUGCCCAAUGUAAUAAUGAAUGGCCGCGGUACUCUGACCGUGCUAAGGUAGCGUAAUCAGUUGGCUUUUAAAUGGAGUCAGGAAUGAAUGGAUUAACUGGGCUUAGCUGUCUCUAAGGUAGUAUCUUGAAUUUACUGUUUAAGUGAAAAAGCUUAAUUUUGAAAAAGGGACGAGAAGACCCUUAGAAUUUUUUCUAUUUUAGUGUGUUACUUGUUAAGGUUACUAAUAAGGAUUUUAUUGGGGCGAUAAAGAAAUAAUUCUUAACUUUCUUUAAGAUACAAGCCGAAUAUAUUAAGAAAGGAUAAAUUACCUGAGGGAUAACAGCAUAAUUCUACAGAUGAGUUUGUGACCUCGAUGUUGGACUAGGAAACUGACAAGCUAGGCGCUUGUUAUGUGGGUUCUGUUCGAACUUUUAUUCCUACAUGAUCUGAGUUCAGACCGGCGUAAGCCAGGUCAGAUUCUAUCUUUUUAUUUUAUGGCUUUAGUACGAAAGGACCAGGCUGUAUUAUUAGAAAAUAAAUUUAA
Molecule: ribosomal RNA, 1125 nt
Filed under: Tritoniopsis elegans
Lineage: Eukaryota; Metazoa; Mollusca; Gastropoda; Nudibranchia; Tritoniidae
Description: 16S ribosomal RNA
Rfam family: Archaeal large subunit ribosomal RNA (bases 546-704)
Source: RNAcentral